GAUGAACGCUAGCGAUAGGCUUAACACAUGCAAGUCGAGCGACCGGCACACGGGUGCGUAACACGUAUCCAACCUGCCCUUUACUCGGGGAUAGCCUGUCGAAAGAAAGAUUAAUACACGAUAUGAAGUAUGGGGAUGCGUUUCAUUAGGUUGUUGGUAAGGUAACGGCUCAGCAAGCCUUCGAUGGAUAGGCGUUCGGAGAGCAAGGAACCCCGGAAUAGAACUGCGGCACGGACCAAACUCCUAGGGGAGGCAGCAGUGAGGAAUAUUGGGCAAUGGGCGCUAGCCUGACCCAGCCAAGUAGCGUGAAGGAUGAAUGCUUAUGGGACGUAAACUUCUUAUAAAUAAGAAUCGGUAUUAGAUGAAUAAGAAUCGGCUAACGCCGUGCCAGCCGCCGCGGUAAUUC
Molecule: ribosomal RNA, 406 nt
Filed under: uncultured bacterium
Lineage: Bacteria
Description: partial 16S ribosomal RNA
Rfam family: Bacterial small subunit ribosomal RNA
Source: RNAcentral